This is a non-coding RNA of Podarcis lilfordi (Lilford's wall lizard), 69 nucleotides long. The record is from the annotation of a GenBank genome assembly. Lineage: Eukaryota; Metazoa; Chordata; Lepidosauria; Squamata; Lacertidae.
GGAUAGCUCAGUUGGGAGAACAUGAAGCUCUUAAUCUCAGGGACGUGGGUUCGAGCUCCACGUUGGACA